AAAGAUUAGGACAUCUCUCCAAUACUGAUGAGAGGGAAAAGAGACAUUUUCAUCAGGGAAUCUACCAAGAGACCAGUGACAAACUAAAAGGAGCUGCAGGCAUUUCCUCUGGAAUUGGACACUUGCUGCAUAUUACAACCAUGCAUCUAUUCCGCAGGGACAGGUUAGGAGAGAGCUUAGGAGAGAGGUUAGGAGAGAGCUUAGGAGAGAGCUUAGGAGAGAGCUUAGGAGAGAGCUUAGGAGCUUAGGAGAGAUGUUAGGAGAGAGGUUAGGAGAGAGCUUAGGAGCUUAGGAGAGAGCUUAGGAGAGAGGUUAGGACAUAGGUUAGUUGAGAGGUUAGGAGAGAGGUUAGGAGAGAGGUUAGGAGAGAUGUUAGGAGAGAUGUUAAGAGAGAUGUUAGGAGAGAUGUUAGGAGAGAUGUUAGGACAUAGGUUAGGAGAGAGGUUUGGAGAGAGGGGACAAUUAACCAGCUUGAGGAGUGGGUAAAAUGUGCUGUGUUGUCAGAGGCUGCUUACUAAUAUGUAAUCCUAGUAAAUUGUGUUUCCAUAAUGUAUUAGUUGUGUGGCGUGCAUAUUUAUGCAUCAAGA
This is a long non-coding RNA of Esox lucius (northern pike), 587 nucleotides long. The record is from Ensembl. NCBI's taxonomy places the organism in Eukaryota, Metazoa, Chordata, Actinopteri, Esociformes, Esocidae.